UGGGCAACCUGCCCCUGACACUGGGAUAACCCCGGGAAACCGGAGCUAAUACCGGAUACUCUCGGCCGAUCACAUGGCUGGCCGAGGAAAGGUCCGCCGGUCAGGGAUGGGCCCGCGGCCUAUCAGCUUGUUGGCGAGGUAACGGCUCACUAAGGCGACGACGGGUAGCUGGUCUGAGAGGACGACCAGCCACACUA
RNAcentral lists this ribosomal RNA (197 nucleotides) under uncultured bacterium. RNAcentral describes it as "partial 16S ribosomal RNA". It matches the Rfam family "Bacterial small subunit ribosomal RNA", at positions 118 to 315 of the family's 1533-position model. The record is from RNAcentral.